GAAAGCAAAUAAGGGCGCACGGGGGAUGCCUGUGGCUCUCGGAGGCGACGAAGGACGUGAUAAGCUGCGAAAAGCUGCGGUUAGAGGCAAAUACUCUUUGACCCGCAGAUGUCCGAAUGGGGAAACCCGGCAGGAGAGAUCCUGUCACUGCAUCGAAUGAUGCAGGGCGAACGCGGGGAACUGAAACAUCUCAGUACCCGCAGGAAGAGAAAAUAACAAUGAUUCCGCCAGUAGUGGCGAGCGAACGCGGAAUAGCCCAAACCCUGGUGGUUGCGGCCACACAGGGGGUUGUAGGACCGUCGCCGGUGCAUGAGGACAUGGAUAGUGGAACGCGCUGGAAAGCGCGGCCGCAGCGGGUGACAGCCCCUUACACGAAAUCCGUGUCUAUCAGGCCAGACGGCACCUGAGUACCGCGGAACACGAGAAAUUCUGCGGGAAUCUGCGGGGACCAUCCCGUAAGGCUAAAUACUACCGAGAGACCGAUAGUGGACAAGUACCGUGAGGGAAAGGUGAAAAGAACCUCGAGCAGAGGAGUGAAACAGAUCCUGAAACCGUGCGCCUACAAGCGGUUGGAGCACCCUUUGGGUGUGACAGCGUGCCUUUUGCAUAAUGAACCUACGAGUUGCCGUCGCCGGCGAGGUUAAGGGCCAGUAUGCCCGCAGCCGAAGCGAAAGCGAGUCCGAAUAGGGCGCAUAUAGUCAGCGGAGGUGGACGCGAAACCAAGUGAUCUACCCUUGGGCAGGAUGAAGGACGGGUGAAUCCGUCUGGAGGUCCGAACCGAUAAGCGUUGAAAAGCUUACGGAUGAGCUGAGGGUAGGAGUGAAAGGCCAAUCAAACUUGGAGAUAGCUCGUACUCCCCGAAAUGCAUUUAGGUGCAGCCUCGUGCGAAGUCAGCCGGAGGUAGAGCGACCGAUAGGAUGCGAGGGCUUCACCGCCUAUCAAGUCCUGCCGAACUCCGAAUGCCGAGCUGAUGUUUCACGGGAGUGAGGGCAUGGGUGCUAAGGUCCAUGUCCGAGAGAGGAACAACUCAGACCACCGUCUAAGGCCCCCAAAUACGGGCUAAGUUGAAGACAAUAACGAAGUGCGGCCGCAGUGACAGCCAGGAUGUUGGCUUGGAAGCAGCCAUUCAUUUAAAGAGUGCGUAACAGCUCACCGGUCGAGCGGCCGCGCAUGGAUAAUAAUCGGGCAUAAGUUCGUUGCCGAAGACGUGGAAUUGCGAUAUUUGAUCGUAAUUGGUAGGGGAGCAUUCCAGACUGCGUUGAAGAUGAUAAUCGAUUAUCAUUGGAGCGUGUGGAAAAGCAAAUGUAGGUAUAAGUAACGAUAAAGGGGGUGAGAGUCCCCCUCGCCGAAAGACCAAGGUUUCCAGGGCGACGUCAAUCGGACCAGGGUCAGUCGGGACCUAAGUUGAAGUCGAAUGGCGAGAGCGAUGGCAGAAGCGGUUAAUAUUCCGCUACUAGUUAUGCGCGUGAUGUGGAGACGGAGUAGUGACACUGUCGCGCCCUGACGGAAUAGGGCGUUGAAAGGCGUAGGUAUAGGGUUGGCAGGCAAAUCCACCGACCUUGCUGAAACCUGAUAGUACACCAAUACUUCGGAUGGCGGUGAUAGCACAGGUAAUCAGACUCCCGAGAAAAUCCGCUAAGCUUCAGGUCAUAGCUACCCGUACCGUAAACCGACACACGUGGUCGGGUAGAGUAUACUAAGGCGCUCGAGUGAUUCACGGUUAAGGAACUAGGCAAAUUGACCCCGUAACUUCGGGAAAAGGGGUCCCAGCCUCAGGGCGGGGCGCAGAGAAUAGGUCCAGGCAACUGUUUAACAAAAACACAGGGCUGUGCAAAAUCGAAAGAUGAAGUAUACAGCCUGACACCUGCCCGGUGCCGGAAGGUUAAGAGGAGAUGUCAGCGCAAGUGAAGCAUUGAAUUGAAGCCCCGGUAAACGGCGGCCGUAACUAUAACGGUCCUAAGGUAGCGAAAUUCCUUGUCGGGUAAGUUCCGACCUGCACGAAUGGUGUAAUGAUCCGGACACUGUCUCAACCAUGAGCUCGGUGAAAUUGUAGUAUCGGUGAAGAUGCCGAUUACCCGCGAUGGGACGAAAAGACCCCGUGAACCUUUACUACAGCUUAGCAUUGACCUUGGGUGUCCGAUGUGUAGGAUAGGCCGGAGGCUUUGAAGCGGGUACGCCAGUAUUCGUGGAGCCGUCCUUGAAAUACUGCCCUUUGCGCAUCUGGUGUCUAACUCGGAAUAUCGAGGACAUUGCUUGGUGGGUAGUUUGACUGGGGUGGUCGCCUCCAAAAGCGUAACGGAGGCUUCCAAAGGUGCCCUCGGGCCGAUUGGUAACCGGCCUUACAGAGUGCAAUGGCAUAAGGGCGCUUGACUGGGAGGCAGACAUGCCGAGCAGGCAGGAAACUGGGGCAUAGUGAUCCGGCGGAUGUGUAUGGAAACUCCGUCGCUCAAAGGAUAAAAGGUACUCCGGGGAUAACAGGCUGAUCCCCCCCAAGAGCUCAUAUCGACGGGGUGGUUUGGCACCUCGAUGUCGGCUCGUCACAUCCUGGGGCUGGAGAAGGUCCCAAGGGUUGGGCUGUUCGCCCAUUAAAGUGGCACGCGAGCUGGGUUCAGAACGUCGUGAGACAGUUCGGUCUCUAUCUAUCGUGGGCGUUGGAGUUUUGCGUGGUGCUGACACUAGUACGAGAGGACCGUGUUGGACAGACCUCCGGUCUACCAGUUGUGCCGCCAGGGGCACCGCUGGGUAGCUGAGUCUGGAUUGGAUAAGCGCUGAAAGCAUCUAAGUGCGAAGCCAGCCGCAAGAUGAGAACUCCUCACAAGGGUCGUCAUAGACGAUGACGUUGAUAGGGCGCAGGUGUAAAGACGGUGACGUCAAAGCCGAGCGCUACUAAUUGCCCGAAACUUUCCGCC
Molecule: ribosomal RNA, 2909 nt
Filed under: wallaby gut metagenome
Description: bacterial LSU rRNA
Rfam family: Bacterial large subunit ribosomal RNA
Source: RNAcentral